GACGAACGCUGGCGGCGUGCUUAACACAUGCAAGUCGAACGGGCUCUGUCUGGCUGUGUGCUGGGUGGGGUUAGUGGCGAACGGGUGAGUAAUACGUGAGUAACCUGCCCUCUUCUUUGGGAUAAGCCUUGGAAACGGGGUCUAAUACUGGAUAUUCCUGUCUGGUCGCAUGGCUGGGUGGGGAAAGUUUUUUUCGGUGGGGGAUGGGCUCGCGGCCUAUCAGCUUGUUGGUGGGGUGAUGGCCUACCAAGGCGUCGACGGGUAGCCGGCCUGGGAGGGUGGCCGGGCACACUUGGACUGGGAUACGGCCCCGACGCCUACGGGAGGCAGCAGUGGGGGAUAUUGCACAAUGGGCGCAAGCCUGAUGCAGCGACGCCGCGUGGGGGAUGACGGCUUUCGGGUUGUAAACCUCUUUCGUCGGGGGACAAGGCUCUGCUUGGUGGUGGGGUUGAGGGUACCCGGUGAAGAAGCGCCGGCUAACUACGUG
Molecule: ribosomal RNA, 487 nt
Filed under: uncultured bacterium
Lineage: Bacteria
Description: partial 16S ribosomal RNA
Rfam family: Bacterial small subunit ribosomal RNA
Source: RNAcentral